AGAAUCAACGCUGGCGGCGUGCCUCAGACAUGCAAGUCGAACGCGAAAGGCCCCUUCGGGGGCCGAGUAGAGUGGCGCACGGGUGAGUAACACGUAGGUAAUCUACCUUCGGGUGGGGAAUAACAACCGGAAACGGUUGCUAACACCGCAUAAUGCAGCGGCACCUAAUGGUGACAGUUGUUAAAGCGGGGGAUCGAAAGACCUCGCGCCUGAAGAGGAGCCUGCGGCGGAUUAGCUAGUUGGUAGGGUAACGCCUACCAAGGCGACGAUCUGUA
Molecule: ribosomal RNA, 275 nt
Filed under: uncultured soil bacterium
Lineage: Bacteria
Description: partial 16S ribosomal RNA
Rfam family: Bacterial small subunit ribosomal RNA
Source: RNAcentral